This 203-nucleotide ribosomal RNA is filed under the name uncultured bacterium. RNAcentral describes it as "partial 16S ribosomal RNA". It matches the Rfam family "Bacterial small subunit ribosomal RNA", at positions 524 to 726 of the family's 1533-position model. The record is from RNAcentral.
UACGUAGGGUGCAAGCGUUGUCCGGAAUUAUUGGGCGUAAAGAGCUCGUAGGCGGUUUGUCGCGUCUGCUGUGAAAACUCAGGGCUUAACCCUGAGCCUGCAGUGGGUACGGGCAGACUAGAGUGUGGUAGGGGAGAUCGGAAUUCCUGGUGUAGCGGUGGAAUGCGCAGAUAUCAGGAGGAACACCGGUGGCGAAGGCGGAU